UAAAAGCCGAGGUGUGACUGAGAGAGAAUCAUAAAUCAGCUGAGAGUGAUCGACGUCGUCCCAAAGAAACCAUCAAAGAUGAUGUGGAGACUGUUACCCAUCUUACUGAUUGGAAGGCUGUAUGUAACUCAGCAGACAACAGAUUAUUGCAACGAACCGCUGAUAGAUCUGACUGACAAGAACGCAUCUCAGUCUCCCAACUUUUCUAAUGAAUACAGGCGACUUACCAACGCUGAGAGAGCCUCUGAUGGGAAUCGCUCCACAUGUUCUCUCACCCUGAUUCAUUCGAGCUCCUGGUGGAGAAUUGACCUGCAGGGCGUUCACAACGUUUCCUGUGUCUCUAUAUACAACAUGAACUGCUCAAGUCUAAACGUAACGCCUGCCGAGAUCUACGUAGGAAACUCUCCAAAGAACGGCAAACUAGCCUACAACAUCACAGAGUUCAACACAGGCCAGAUAAACGUCUUCAGGUUCCCCAAAUCGGUGUUUGGGCGCUACGUGACGGUGAUCAGACCAGGACAAAAAGCCAUGGUUCUUUGUGACGUGAACAUCACUGGCACAGCUUUGGUACCUCCAUUCUGUUAUGACUGAUUGUUGUGAAGAAUCCCUGAAAAUCUGUGGAGGAAAUCGGGGAUCGGUUCUGAAUCCUGGAUGGACAGAUGCAAACAGAACGACCCUCUGUUUGAAAAGUUCAUUUUUAUUUCUGUCAUUUUUUGGGUGGUUGGUUUGAUUUUCCUUCUUUGAGCAAACCUUAUUAUGUCACGGGGCGGUUCUAGACAUGGAUACAUGAGGGGGCAGGCGAAAAUGUUAAGGGGGCGUCAUUAUGUAUAUUAGGGGUUGAUAGACUUCAUAUAUUUUAUGGUGGACUAUAAAAUGAUAAAAGUCGGAAUCCUCACAGUGGUGUCAUACAAACGUAAGCGAAUUUCACAUCAACUUACAGGCUGUAUUAUAUUCACAGCAAAUACUGACAAAAAAAGCCCUUUAAGUCUAUUAUUCUGGUAGCCUUUGCAGAAGUUUGCAGUUUCCCUUUGAUGAAUUAUUAACAUUUUUACACAAUUCCAAUUCAGGAACUCACCUAGUUCAUUUUCUUGGAAUAAUUUGUUUGGACCAAAUGUAUGAUUUACACGCAUAAAACCGAGUAACAACAAAUCCAGAUAGUUAACGCAGAGCAGGCGCUGCGUUAACUAUCAGGAUUCAGCGCCAAAAACGCAAACAUUUCCCACAAAAAGAACAGAAUAUUCAGUUUUUCUGGCUGGAGGAACGGUUCUGAUUCGAACAGCUUCAGUCUGGAUCAGCAUAAUAAGGGAAGAACUGCAUCCGCGGUUCUGCUGCAGCUGUGUGGGAGAACUGCUGGUGUGGAAAGACAGGUAGACCCGCCUCUGCUGAGAGCCAGGUGAUUUCCUCAACAUGAUGAGAUGUGACAGGUGAGUUUAUCACACACAGCACUUUGCAGAACUAUUCACCAUCCUCAACUUUUAUCUCCGUUUUUGGUAUUUUACUAGUAAUCGUUACCAUCAUUGCUAUUUGACAGUAAACAUAGUAAUGAUUAGUUUCGUUACUACGGUAGUAAUUAUAUAUAUAUAAUAGUAAAUCAACGCUCAAACAUUCUCAAUUAGAUUUAGCUCUGGACUUUAACUACACCAUUUUGACACAAGUUGUUUUUCUUCUUAGCUGUUCCAUUUAGUUCUGUUCUGUAUGUUUAGGGUUGAUAUCAUAAUGGAAAGUGAAACUCCCAUCAACUCUGAUCAGCUUUCCUGUCCCUGCAACAGGAAAAAAAAAAACUCCCCACAGCAUGAUACUUCCAACACCAUGUCUCACAGUGGAGACAGAAAACACACAUGACAUUUUGGAUUUAGGUUUAAAAACUAGAUAUUGGUCUAAUCUGGCCACAGUAUUUGUGUCCAGUAGAGCCUGUGGCAAACUUUAAACUGGACUAAAGGUUUUCUGGAGUUUUUUUCUUUUUGCCUCCCUAAUCUGCAGAUUUGCAGCUGCGCCAGACUCUUUUAAACUUUGGGUAAAAUACUGGGCUUUUUUUUUUUACGUGAGAUGGUUAAAGCUUGGGAAAUUGUUUCAUAAAUCAACUCUGCUUUCAAAUUGACUUUCUUCUGGCCUGUCUGAGGUGUUCCUUGGUCUUUGUGAUGUGAUUCGUUUUCUAAGAAAACAUCUGUAGUCUUCAAAAAAACAGCCACAGAAUGUCAUAGUCAUGUGCUGCUUUGUGUUGCUCGGUCACAUUAAUAAUGAAAUAAAUUAAAGUUUGUGGCUGAAUCCUGACAAAUUGUGUUGUUCAGGAAGUAUGCGUGCUCUUUUAAGGUUCUUAAACAGUUAAGGAUCCUGAAGUUAAAAAAAAUAGAGAGGAAUGUAUGUCUAUGUGUAAUUAAAUGAAAGAAACACAGCACUGCCUGUUUUCUUCCAGGCAGUAGGAAAACAUUCAUGAUGUGGUUAAUAGUUCAGCACAGCAGAUGUAGAGUUUUGUUCCCAGGCCUGAGGCAGCUUGAUGGGCGCAGGAACGAAUGAGUGACUGGAAUGAAGAUGGCUGUCACUUCAGCUCCUGUCAAAGAGCAGCUGAUUGGCUUUUGGUUCAAUGGUAGACACACCUAGACAGGGAUUAGGAGCAGAGACACAAACGCACAGCCAAGGCUGUUUCUUACACUGAUGAUGACACAUUUAAGCAGAUCUCCAGCUGACAUGCAUCUGUUUUCGACUGUCUUCAAUGCAGUGAUUUUUUAUUUUUUUUUUACCUUUUUGGAGGUUUUUCUGCUUUGGUUUUGCUUUGCAUCGAUGCCACUUGUCAGCUUUAAAAGUUAAACAUGAGUCUUUGCAACACGUUCAGUAGAUAAUUGUAGCUUUUCACUGCCCUGCCAAAAGGAGGAUGCUUUGGUCACGCAGUGACUGCUUUUGAAAAAAUGCCUAGGUGGUGUAUUUUAGGUCAAAUGUGAGUAAAUCAUUAUAAAAUGUAUCAAGAUGAGAUAAAUGGGAAUCAAAAGUUACCAUAAAACAGACAGAAUGCUGGCGGCUUUAUCAAAAAUGGCUUUAAGCGAGACAAAUAUAAAUAAAAAAAAAACAUCUCUGAUAUAAUAAAGAUAAUAAAAGAUCAAAUUAAAGCACUGGUGCUCUUACCAAAGAAAAUAUAAAAAUAAGUAAGUAGUAGUUACGGCCACUUAUUUGUGUCUAUGGUUACAAUGGCUGCAAGAGUUCAUGCUGCACCGUUUACUGCAGCAGAAAUCAGAGUGCUCAUUGUGCCCCUAAUUUAUAUUCCUGCAUUUAAAGUUGUUGCUCCUUCCUCAUCAGAGGGUUUCAGUCUGUAUAUUACGCACGCCGAGGUCACAAGUACAGAAAAUACCGGAGAAGUUCAGAGUGAGAAGACGCUCUGGUGAGUAGGAAGUGGAAAUCAGACAUUCAAACGCAGCACCAAUCUGACACCGCUC
Molecule: RNA transcript, 3425 nt
Organism: Poecilia latipinna (sailfin molly)
Lineage: Eukaryota; Metazoa; Chordata; Actinopteri; Cyprinodontiformes; Poeciliidae
Gene name: fucolectin-4-like
Exons: 7
Source: RefSeq, a predicted model, not a curated record